Molecule: ribosomal RNA, 919 nt
Filed under: Cedhagenia saltatus
Lineage: Eukaryota; Foraminifera; Astrorhizida; Saccamminidae
Description: bacterial SSU rRNA
Rfam family: Eukaryotic small subunit ribosomal RNA
Source: RNAcentral
AAGGGCACCACAAGAACGCGUGGAGCAUGUGGCUUAAUUUGACUCAACUCGGGAAACCUUACCGGGUCCGGACAUACUGAGGAUUGACAGGCAAAUAAUAGUUAUACUUUUUUGUAUAGCUUACUUACCAAAUAUGUAAGUCCUUUCAUGAUUGUGUGAUAGGUGGUGCAUGGCCGUUCUUAGUUCGUGAAGUGAUCUGUCUGCUUAAUUACGUUUCAGAUAUAUGGGGUUCUAAGCUAUUACGACGUAAGGUGCUUCGGUACACUUGCUUAGUAGCCUGCCCCUUUGAAAGCAACGAACGUGACCUCAAACCUAUGUUACCUCUUUUUAUUAUAGAGGCUAUCUUAGGUGACUGCCAGAGUUGUCAACUCAGAGGAAGGUUGAGGCAAUAACAGGUCUGUGAUGCCCUUAGAUGUUCCGGGCUGCACACGUGCUACAAUGAUUGUUGCAGUAAGUAUCUGACUGCUCUUAUACUGUGUUUGUACUUCGGUACAUCAACACAGUGGGUUUUACCCUUCGGGGUAUUACUCAUAGACCUACCUCGAAAGUACGGUAGACAAUCAAUUCCAAGUAACAAUCUACCUAUUUUAUAGGAAAGCACAAGCCUAAAGACUUUGUUUGUAUUUGCUUCGGCUUUUGCAACUUGGUCGUGCUCUAAUUGAAUUCGUGGUCGGGACAGACCAUUGUGCUUAAUUAUUGGUCUCGGUCUCAACUAGGAAUGCCUUGUACGGGUCUUUGGUUCAACAUACCACCCGGAAUACGUCCCUACCCUUUGUACACACCGCCCGUCGCUCUUACCGAUGGACUACUCUGUGAGUUGGAGGGACUGGCCAUCCAUAUAUGCUUCUUCGGAUGUGUAUAGACUAUAGAAACUCCUGCGAACAGUGUGGUCUAAAGGAAAGAGAAGUCGAACAAGGCA